RNAcentral lists this ribosomal RNA (270 nucleotides) under uncultured prokaryote. Its description in RNAcentral is "partial 16S ribosomal RNA". It matches the Rfam family "Bacterial small subunit ribosomal RNA", at positions 524 to 792 of the family's 1533-position model. The record is from RNAcentral.
UACGGAGGAUCCGAGCGUUAUCCGGAUUUAUUGGGUUUAAAGGGUGCGCAGGCGGGAUGUUAAGUCGGCGGUGAAAUUUUGCAGCUCAACUGUAAAAGUGCCUUCGAUACUGGCUUCCUUGAGUGUGGAUGAAGUAGGCGGAAUUUGUGGUGUAGCGGUGAAAUGCUUAGAUAUCACGAGGAACUCCGAUUGCGCAGGCAGCUUACUAAACCACUACUGACGCUCAUGCACGAAGGCGUGGGGAGUCAAACAGGAUUAGAUACCCGGGUA